Tinamus guttatus (white-throated tinamou) is the source of this 266-nucleotide non-coding RNA. NCBI's taxonomy places the organism in Eukaryota, Metazoa, Chordata, Aves, Tinamiformes, Tinamidae. The record is from RefSeq and is a predicted model, not a curated record.
UGUUCCCACCUCUUCUCGGCCCCUCAUUCCUCCUCACAGGUGGAAUUUCCACCAAGGCUCAGCCAUGCGGAUCUUCCAACUGCUCUUUGCAAUCGUGGUCACGCUCCUCCUCCAGGAUAUUCCCGUCAGAGGCCUUUCGGACAGCCAGCAGUGUCGGAGCAACCGCGGCCACUGCCGGAGGCUCUGCUUCCAUAUGGAGCGCUGGGCUGGGAGCUGCAGCAACGGUCGCCAGCGCUGCUGCCGAUGAACACGGCCGCGCCGGGGGG